This 278-nucleotide ribosomal RNA is filed under the name uncultured soil bacterium. Its description in RNAcentral is "partial 16S ribosomal RNA". It matches the Rfam family "Bacterial small subunit ribosomal RNA", at positions 26 to 309 of the family's 1533-position model. The record is from RNAcentral.
AGAUUGAACGCUGGCGGCAUGCCUUACACAUGCAAGUCGAACGGCAGCACGGGAGCAAUCCUGGUGGCGAGUGGCGAACGGGUGAGUAAUACAUCGGAACGUGCCCAAUCGUGGGGGAUAACGCAGCGAAAGCUGUGCUAAUACCGCAUAAGAUCUACGGAUGAAAGCAGGGGAUCGCAAGACCUUGCGCGAAUGGAGCGGCCGAUGGCAGAUUAGGUAGUUGGUGAGGUAAGCUCACCAAGCCUUCAUCUGUAGCUGGUCUGAGAGGACGACCAGCC